Long non-coding RNA from Corvus hawaiiensis (hawaiian crow), 410 nucleotides. RefSeq lists it as uncharacterized. NCBI's taxonomy places the organism in Eukaryota, Metazoa, Chordata, Aves, Passeriformes, Corvidae. The record is from RefSeq and is a predicted model, not a curated record. The transcript has 2 exons.
GUUCCCCUUCCCCCUGAAUCCCAGUUCGAGUUGGAGGGGAGCUCCGGCGGUCACCCAGUCCAGCCUCCCUGCCAAGGCAGGGUCCCCCAGAGCAGCUAGGUAAGUGUUCAUGAAACCACCCAUUUGGAAGCCACCAGAAGACUAUACAGCAAAAAACUGAAGCCCCCAGCAGGCUACACAGGAGAAAUGAAAGCCCACCUUUUACAGGUAGGUGUGACCAUCUCCCCAGGGCUAGUGCUCAACCCUGGGGAAGUUGGCUUCUAAUGCAUCCGGCACCAAGGUCCCUGACAGCUGUAAAUUGGGAAAGAAAGAGACAGGAUCAAUUUCCAAGCGGAGUAUCAACAGAGAGGGCAAUCAGAAACAGCCUUCUAAAGACAUAUGCAAUGCCAACACCUAACUUAAACCCAACC